AUCCCAUGACGAGGACAGGUGCGAAUGUACUCAUUGAGAUGUUCCCAUGCUUCAGGAAUCGUCUCAUUGGACUGUUGCUAGAAGCUCAAAAUCUUCCCACGUAGGGC
Sorghum bicolor (sorghum) is the source of this 107-nucleotide small nucleolar RNA. It matches the Rfam family "Plant small nucleolar RNA R71". Rfam says of the family: R71 is a member of the C/D box family of snoRNAs containing the C (UGAUGA) and D (CUGA) box motifs. Multiple nearly identical copies of this snoRNA have been identified in Arabidopsis, and it is thought to function as a 2'-O-ribose methylation guide for 18S ribosomal RNA. The record is from Rfam. NCBI's taxonomy places the organism in Eukaryota, Viridiplantae, Streptophyta, Magnoliopsida, Poales, Poaceae.